RNAcentral lists this ribosomal RNA (468 nucleotides) under uncultured bacterium. Its description in RNAcentral is "partial 16S ribosomal RNA". It matches the Rfam family "Bacterial small subunit ribosomal RNA", at positions 28 to 507 of the family's 1533-position model. The record is from RNAcentral.
GACGAACGCUGGCGGCGCGCCUAACACAUGCAAGUCGAACGGAGCUGAGAGAAGCUUGCUUUUCUUAGCUUAGUGGCGAACGGGUGAGUAACGCGUGAGUAACCUGCCCUGGAGUGGGGGACAACAGUUGGAAACGACUGCUAAUACCGCAUAAGCCCACGAUCCGGCAUCGGAUUGAGGGAAAAGGAUUUAUUCGCUUCAGGAUGGACUCGCGUCCAAUUAGCUAGUUGGUGAGGUAACGGCCCACCAAGGCGACGAUUGGUAGCCGGACUGAGAGGUUGACCGGCCACAUUGGGACUGAGACACGGCCCAGACUCCGACGGGAGGCAGCAGUGGGGGAUAUUGCACAAUGGGGGAAACCCUGAUGCAGCGACGCCGCGUGGAGGAAGAAGGUUUUCGGAUUGUAAACUCCUGUCGGUAGGGACGAUAAUGACGGUACCUAACAAGAAAGCACCGGCUAACUACGUG